Molecule: ribosomal RNA, 631 nt
Filed under: uncultured bacterium
Lineage: Bacteria
Description: bacterial SSU rRNA
Rfam family: Bacterial small subunit ribosomal RNA
Source: RNAcentral
AGGAAUUUGACGGGGGCCCGCACAAGCGGUGGAUUAUGUGGUUUUAAUUCGAUGAUACGCGAGGAACCUUACCAAGGCUUAAAUGGGAAUUGAUCGGUUUAGAAAUAGACCUUCCUUCGGGCAAUUUUCAAGGUGCUGCAUGGUUGUCGUCAGCUCGUGCCGUGAGGUGUUAGGUUAAGUCCUGCAACGAGCGCAACCCCUGUCACUAGUUGCCAUCAUUCAGUUGGGGACUCUAGUGAGACUGCCUACGCAAGUAGAGAGGAAGGUGGGGAUGACGUCAAAUCAUCACGGCCCUUACGCCUUGGGCCACACACGUAAUACAAUGGCCGGUACAGAGGGCAGCUACACAGCGAUGUGAUGCAAAUCCCGAAAGCCGGUCUCAGUUCGGAUUGGAGUCUGCAACUCGACUCUAUGAAGCUGGAAUCGCUAGUAAUCGCGCAUCAGCCAUGGCGCGGUGAAUACGUUCCCGGGCCUUGUACACACCGCCCGUCAAGCCAUGGAAGUCUGGGGUACCUGAAGUCGGUGACCGUAAAAGGAGCUGCCUAGGGUAAAACAGGUAAGUAGGGUAAGUCGUAACAAGGUAACCAAUGAAUCCCGCGGCCGCCUGGCGGCCCGGAGGCACGGGACUUCA